Molecule: long non-coding RNA, 560 nt
Organism: Symphalangus syndactylus (siamang)
Lineage: Eukaryota; Metazoa; Chordata; Mammalia; Primates; Hylobatidae
Source: RefSeq, a predicted model, not a curated record
GCCGUGUUUGCUUCCCUUUCCACCGUGAUUUUAAGUUUCCUGAAGCCUCCCCAGCCACGCUGAACUGUGAGUCAAUUAGACCUCUUUCCUUUAUGAUUUACCCAGUCUCAGCACAUGAAGAACAUCAACUCCACACAGUACUUGAUAAGAAAUGCAAUAAACUUAAGUAUGAUUGCAGUAAGUCUUGAACUCAUGGUGAUAUCGAGGACAACUUCAGCCCCUCUGGAAAAAGAGUGAUCUUAAGAUUGAUCAUGGGAACAAUUUCCUAUCCUUCAGAACACUCAAGAACUGGAACCAAAUUUUAGAAGUGCAGAUGGUUAUCACUGGGCUAAAAUCAAAGAGACAGCAAGUCUGAUUCCUUUCUGGAGGGUCUAUGGAUGAAUCCAUUCCUUGUAUUUUACGGCUUCUAGAGCUGGUCAGCAUUCAUUGGCUCAUGUCCUACUUCCAUCUUCAAAGUUGGCAAUGACUGGUCUCUUUUUUUGGAUUGAAUCACCCUGACACUCUUCUGCCAUUUCUCCCUAUUUGAAAAAAAACAAAACAAAUAAACAAACUUGUGAUUA